Molecule: long non-coding RNA, 1303 nt
Filed under: Equus caballus (horse)
Lineage: Eukaryota; Metazoa; Chordata; Mammalia; Perissodactyla; Equidae
Description: lncRNA (ENSECAG00000051263.1)
Source: RNAcentral
CUUUGCAGAACAGAAGCUCUGCCACCGAGGCCAGCACUGGGCAGCUGUGGGCUCCACGAGCCGGUCUGUUCUCUGCACUGCAGCCCACGGCCUUGGAUGAGGGCAAGAGAGAGGGUGCCCUGGCUGGAGGGUGGCGCGGGGGUGCAUUGAUGUGAAAGAGUGCCAGGGCUGAACCCCAGGAACCAGUAAGUGAGUCCCUGGCUCCUUCUCUGCCUCUCCCAGGCUUCUGAAACCUAGACUGUAGGGUCAAGAUAAAAACUGCCUAGGAACCUUUAUCCAACCCUCUAGAGGGUGGAGAGAAACAAACCAUGAGCUUGGCGUCCGCGUUCCUGGUUGGAGGCCCUGCCUGUUCACUUAAUCAAUCUGAGCCUCACUAUAAUCUGCUUAUCUUGCAAGGUUCUUGUGAGGAUCAAUUGAAACAAGGCGUGGGAAAGUUCUUUGCAAACUGUAAAGUGCUUUAAAGGAAGGAGUUGCUCCAGGCACGGAAUCAAAGGCCCAGAGGGAAAAAAUGUAAAAAUAGAGUCUGAAGCAAAUAGAUCGAAAGAGUGACAUUUGAAUAUCUGGGUGCUCAAAAACCUUAUGGUGGCCCACUGCCAGCCUAAGAAGAUCCAAAAUCCGGAACAAUUGGUGUACCACCUCGAAGUCUGCCGCCUACGUCUCUCUCCAGCUUUGUCACCCUCCGUGUGCUCGCACUAAAGAGGCGGCCCCGCCACCCGGUCAUGCUGCGGGUUUUCAUGUCUUCCUGCAAGUUCAGUUCUGAGAUGCUGUUACCUUCAAGCUCAGGUCCAAUGCCCUCCCCAUAAAGUCUUCAUCCAGCUCUACUUCCGGAACCAAUCCCGCGGCACAGCCCACAGGUGUAGGCAACGCUCUUUUUGAACAAAACAGAUCUAGAAGGCACCUCCCUUCUGCCUCCCCAGCUCCCUUUCCGUUAAUACUGAGCUCAAUUGUUUGGCAGACCCGGGAAGCAGAGGUGGGAUGACUAGACACAUUCAUCCAUAUGGUUCCUCAUCCAUAUAAACAGUGCAUCUAUCUUUCUCUCUUCCUUUCCUUUCUCCUGGUUUUUCUCCUAUGACAUCAGCUACAGAGCAGGCUGGCCUCACAUCAGCCUUGCAGAGAGGGUCAGGUGCUGUCCUCCAACUUAUGGCAAGAACCUGAGGAAAAUAAGAUUCCUCUAAGUGCAAUAUUGUAUCAAUUCCAAGAUGCACAUUUUUUUCUCAUUUUGAUAUCUCUGAAAUUAGGGUGCGUUGUACAAUCAAUGAAGUUUUUUCUUUCUUGGUGAUACACAAAAAUAAAAAUGUGUUUU